Molecule: non-coding RNA, 29 nt
Filed under: Cricetulus griseus (Chinese hamster)
Lineage: Eukaryota; Metazoa; Chordata; Mammalia; Rodentia; Cricetidae
Source: RNAcentral
AACCUGUCUCCAAAACAACUAGAACUAGA